AUUGAACGCUGGCGGCAUGCCUAACACAUGCAAGUUCGAACGGCAGCACGGCAGUAGCAAUACUGUGGUGGCGAGUGGCGGACGGGUGAGGAUACGUCGGAAUCUGCCCAAUCGUGGGGGAUAACUAACCGAAAGGUUAGCCUAAUACCGCAUACGACCCGAGAGGUGAAAGCGGGGGACCGCAAGGCCUCGCGCGAUUGGAUGAGCCGACGUCGGAUUAGCUUGUUGGUGGGGUAAAGGCCUACCAAGGCAACGAUCCGUAGCUGGUCUGAGAGGAUGAUCAGCCACACUGGAACUGAGACACGGUCCAGACUCCUACGGGAGGCAGCAGUGGGGAAUAUUGGACAAUGGGCGGAAGCCUGAUCCAGCAAUGCCGCGUGUGUGAAGAAGGCCUUCGGGUUGUAAAGCACUUUAUCAGGAACGAAAAGCGUUGGAUUAAUACUCUGACGUGCUGACGGUACCUGAGGAAUAAGCACCGGCUAACUUCGUG
This 490-nucleotide ribosomal RNA is filed under the name uncultured bacterium. RNAcentral describes it as "bacterial SSU rRNA". It matches the Rfam family "Bacterial small subunit ribosomal RNA", at positions 30 to 507 of the family's 1533-position model. The record is from RNAcentral.